This 497-nucleotide ribosomal RNA is filed under the name uncultured bacterium. RNAcentral's name for it is "partial 16S ribosomal RNA". It matches the Rfam family "Bacterial small subunit ribosomal RNA", at positions 28 to 507 of the family's 1533-position model. The record is from RNAcentral.
GAUGAACGCUGGCGGCGUGCCUAAUACAUGCAAGUCGAGCGAACGGACGAGAAGCUUGCUUUUCUGAUGUUAGCGGCGGACGGGUGAGUAACACGUGGAUAACCUACCUAUAAGACUGGGAUAACUUCGGGAAACCGGAGCUAAUACCGGAUAAUAUUUUGAACCGCAUGGUUCAAAAGUGAAAGACGGUCUUGCUGUCACUUAUAGAUGGAUCCGCGCUGCAUUAGCUAGUUGGUAAGGUAACGGCUUACCAAGGCAACGAUGCAUAGCCGACCUGAGAGGGGGAUCGGCCACCCUGGAACUGAGACACGGUCAAGACUCCUACGGGAGGCAGCAGUAGGGAAUCUUCCGCAAUGGGCGAAAGCCUGACGGAGCAACGCCGCGUGAGUGAUGAAGGUCUUCGGAUCGUAAAACUCUGUUAUUAGGGAAGAACAUAUGUGUAAGUAACUGUGCACAUCUUGACGGUACCUAAUCAGAAAGCCACGGCUAACUACGUG